Molecule: unclassified non-coding RNA, 599 nt
Filed under: Debaryomyces hansenii
Lineage: Eukaryota; Fungi; Ascomycota; Pichiomycetes; Serinales; Debaryomycetaceae
Description: sequence contains 18S rRNA gene, ITS1, 5.8S rRNA gene, ITS2, 28S rRNA gene
Rfam family: 5.8S ribosomal RNA (bases 245-398)
Source: RNAcentral
AGUCGUAACAAGGUUUCCGUAGGUGAACCUGCGGAAGGAUCAUUACAGUAUUCUUUUUGCCAGCGCUUAAUUGCGCGGCGAAAAAACCUUACACACAGUGUUUUUUGUUAUUACAAGAACUUUUGCUUUGGUCUGGACUAGAAAUAGUUUGGGCCAGAGGUUUACUGAACUAAACUUCAAUAUUUAUAUUGAAUUGUUAUUUAUUUAAUUGUCAAUUUGUUGAUUAAAUUCAAAAAAUCUUCAAAACUUUCAACAACGGAUCUCUUGGUUCUCGCAUCGAUGAAGAACGCAGCGAAAUGCGAUAAGUAAUAUGAAUUGCAGAUUUUCGUGAAUCAUCGAAUCUUUGAACGCACAUUGCGCCCUCUGGUAUUCCAGAGGGCAUGCCUGUUUGAGCGUCAUUUCUCUCUCAAACCUUCGGGUUUGGUAUUGAGUGAUACUCUUAGUUGAACUAGGCGUUUGCUUGAAAUGUAUUGGCAUGAGUGGUACUGGAUAGUGCUAUAUGACUUUCAAUGUAUUAGGUUUAUCCAACUCGUUGAAUAGUUUAAUGGUAUAUUUCUCGGUAUUCUAGGCUCGGCCUUACAAUAUAACAAACAAGUUGA